Taeniopygia guttata (zebra finch) is the source of this 1945-nucleotide long non-coding RNA. RefSeq lists it as uncharacterized. NCBI's taxonomy places the organism in Eukaryota, Metazoa, Chordata, Aves, Passeriformes, Estrildidae. The record is from RefSeq and is a predicted model, not a curated record.
GAUUUUGAAAGUAAUUGCAUCACUUUAAGCACAGUUUAUGAGCCCUGUUGUAGUUCAUUAUAAAACCAAUUUAUUACUUGCAGUGAUAUUAGUAUUCCUAAUAGAAUUAAAAGUGGAAAACAUGAUUAAAAGCAAUCCUUCAGACUCUGAUCAAGGGAACUUUCAAGUUUAAAAUGUAAAUAUCAGAUUAGAACACUGAUUUUUGAACAAGAUUACAAAGUCAAACCUGGUUUUUUUUUGUUCCCUAAAAGAAGAAAUGCCAUUAGAUAUGAUUGUUACAUGCUCAGUGAUUCAUGGGCCUGCUUAUGUACUUUGUGAGAUAUGAAUUAUUUAGCAAGAAAAAUCACAAUAAUUUUGCUGUUACUCAAGAAUUUAUAGGUUGACAGAAAAACAAUUAUGCAGCCCCUGGAGCUGGUCUGAAGGGGCGCAGGAGCAUCAUUAACCACACACAGCCCAAGUGCAGGAGUUACCUCGUCCCUGUGCAUCACACAAUCUGCUUCUUCGCAGAAGUUAUUCAGAAUUUAAAGCAAAAACUAAAUAUUUACUAAUUUUGCCUAAAUCCAGUUCGCUGUUGUUAUGUUUUCUUUCAGUCUGAGUUGGGUUUAUUGUGAAAAAAGAGCUUUAAAAUAUCUGUUUGUGGGUUUCCCUGUGAACUGAAAAGGUGAAUUUAUUUCCUGAUAUUUGGGUCCCAAACAAUCCUUUCUUAUUCCAGAGAAAGUGCAGGGUGGCAGUGGAAGUUGGGUGGAAGUUUUAAUGCCAUUUUUAAGGAAUCUGAAUUUAUCCCUGGUGCACUUUUGGUGAGUCUUUCCAGGAGAUGCCUUUCAGGGAAGAAUAUCUUUAGAAAGCCUGGACACUGCUGACCUAUUUUUCACGAGCCUGAGGGAAUUCAGUUUGCUGCACUCACAGGCAACUGAAAGGGAAAAAAGUGAAUUUCACCAUGAUAUGUUAUUUAUCAACAUAGAAAGUUAGACAUUAAUAUCUUUCCAAAAAGACAGGAAAAAUGUGUGCUCCUAAAACAACCAUCAGGUGCCAUUUUCUCUCUAGGAAACUGAGAAUUCGUCCUUUGUUAUUUAUAAUUCCAGCCUAAAAACCGGUGCAGGGAAGAAGCAGGGAUGACAAAUUGAAUUUGGUGAAUUAUACACUUAUAUUCAGUGUCUGAAUUACAGGUCAUAGCUGGAAAAAUUCUAGUAAUAAUGAGAUUAUUGGAGCUGCUGAGUAGGAUCCAGAAUGAAAUCAGCAUUUUUUUGCCUCUAUCCUUCCUGUGCCUCCUUUUAUCCAAGGGGAUGAGUGCAGGACUGGAGGAACUGGGAAUCCUAAUCUCAGUUUUAAUUCACUGCUGGGUAUUUUUACCCAUCCCACUGCUGAGAAUGAGCUCCCACCUCCCUCCCCGGGGCCAGGAAAACCCAAAUCCACAUCCUGCAACAGCAAAAUUCAACAGCAGGGCUUGAAUUUUGGGGGAAGCAGCUCUUCUUUUCCUCCCUUUUCCUUUUUACAGAUUUCUGCUGGAGGGACCCAAAACUCCAUUACAGAGUGUUUGUGACAGAGCAAAAAUAGAAAAUUUCCUGUGCUGGGCAAGUUCCUUUGCAGUGGGAAUUCACCACGUAAUAACUUCUUUCCUUACUUGUGGAGUAAACGACCCUGCUAAGCAAAUCACCGGGAUUUGCAUUUUUUCCAUCCUCAUGGAGACUCCUGCGAGAUGAGAAUGAUUUUCCUCCCCUUCCUUCCUGUGUCAGCACUCUGGAAAGACAGAAAUAUUUAUUUUGAUUUGGAUUUCCUGGCCAGCUCGGGAUGCUCCCAGCGGCGCUGGGAAGCAGCAGAGAGCAGCAGCACACUGCGAGUGGCAGCAGCUGGCAGCCACCAAGGGAGGCUCUGUCCCCCUCACACACCAAAUCCUGAAUUUCCAGGAGUCCUGGAUUCACCAUCCUCUAAUUAAAGCAUUGCUACA